RNAcentral lists this ribosomal RNA (432 nucleotides) under uncultured bacterium. RNAcentral describes it as "partial 16S ribosomal RNA". It matches the Rfam family "Bacterial small subunit ribosomal RNA", at positions 29 to 507 of the family's 1533-position model. The record is from RNAcentral.
ACGAACGCUGGCGGCAUGCCUAACACAUGCAAGUCGAACGAGACCUUCGGGUCUAGUGGUGCACGGGUGCGUAACGCGUGGGAACCUGCCCUUAGGUUCGGAAUAACUCCCCGAAAGGGGUGCUAAUACCGGAUAAUGUCUUCGGACCAAAGAUUUAUCGCCUUUGGAUGGGCCCGCGUUGGAUUAGCUAGUUGGUAGGGUAAAAGCCUACCAAGGCGACGAUCCAUAGCUGGUCUGAGAGGAUGAUCAGCCACACUGGGACUGAGACACGACCCAGACUCCUACGGGAGGCAGCAGUGGGGAAUAUUGGACAAUGGGCGAAAGCCUGAUCCAGCAAUGCCGCGUGAGUGAUGAAGGCCUUAGGGUUGUAAAGCUCUUUUACCCGGGAUGAUAAUGACAGUACCGGGAGAAUAAGCUCCGGCUAACUCCGUG